GGGGCGAAAGACUAAUCGAACCAUCUAGUAGCUGGUUCCUCCGAAGUUUCCCUCAGGAUAGCUGGCGCUCUCGCAAACCCAACCUCCCACGCAGUUUU
Molecule: ribosomal RNA, 98 nt
Filed under: Macaca nemestrina (pig-tailed macaque)
Lineage: Eukaryota; Metazoa; Chordata; Mammalia; Primates; Cercopithecidae
Description: partial 28S ribosomal RNA
Rfam family: Eukaryotic large subunit ribosomal RNA
Source: RNAcentral